UGCAGAAGUGGCGGAAUUGGCAGACGCGCACGGUUCAGGUCCGUGUGGUAGUAAUACCUUGUGGGUUCGACUCCCAUCUUCUGCAG
Molecule: transfer RNA, 86 nt
Filed under: Enterocloster clostridioformis
Lineage: Bacteria; Bacillati; Bacillota; Clostridia; Lachnospirales; Lachnospiraceae
Also listed under: 2 other names
Description: [Clostridium] clostridioforme tRNA-Ser(cag)
Rfam family: tRNA
About the family: Transfer RNA (tRNA) molecules are approximately 80 nucleotides in length. Their secondary structure includes four short double-helical elements and three loops (D, anti-codon, and T loops). Further hydrogen bonds mediate the characteristic L-shaped molecular structure. tRNAs have two regions of fundamental functional importance: the anti-codon, which is responsible for specific mRNA codon recognition, and the 3' end, to which the tRNAs corresponding amino acid is attached (by aminoacyl-tRNA synthetases). tRNAs cope with the degeneracy of the genetic code in two manners: having more than one tRNA (with a specific anti-codon) for a particular amino acid; and 'wobble' base-pairing, i.e. permitting non-standard base-pairing at the 3rd anti-codon position.
Source: RNAcentral